GCUUGGUACUAGAUUUCAGCCAAUCAACACCGACGGGAGAAAGUAAGUAAUCACCGGACGGAGAUUUUUUCCCUUUGGUCAAGUAGUUCUUAGAACGGAGAAGAAAGAGAUCGCCAGGCGGCGAGGCCCAACCAUUUAUCCCGGUGUGAAGGUCGACAAGGCGUAAGGAUCCGCCGUCGAUCGUCUCGGAAAUCCAAUCCCCCGUCGUCGUGGACUCUCCAUGUUCGGAACACCUUUCGGCCGAUUCUCCGAUUAAGUUCCGGUGACUUUGCUUUUGCUUCGUGGGGCACAUGGCUUCUAGUAGUAACGCU
This 311-nucleotide unclassified non-coding RNA is filed under the name Hevea brasiliensis (rubber tree). The record is from RNAcentral. Lineage: Eukaryota; Viridiplantae; Streptophyta; Magnoliopsida; Malpighiales; Euphorbiaceae.